RNAcentral lists this ribosomal RNA (462 nucleotides) under uncultured Actinomyces sp. RNAcentral's name for it is "bacterial SSU rRNA". It matches the Rfam family "Bacterial small subunit ribosomal RNA", at positions 338 to 795 of the family's 1533-position model. The record is from RNAcentral. Lineage: Bacteria; Bacillati; Actinomycetota; Actinomycetes; Actinomycetales; Actinomycetaceae.
CCUACGGGAGGCAGCAGUGGGGAAUAUUGCACAAUGGGCGCAAGCCUGAUGCAGCGACGCCGCGUGAGGGAUGGAGGCCUUCGGGUUGUAAACCUCUUUCGCCAGUGAAGCAGGCCUGCCUCGUUUGUGGGUGGGUUGACGGUAGCUGGAUAAGAAGCGCCGGCUAACUACGUGCCAGCAGCCGCGGUAAUACGUAGGGCGCGAGCGUUGUCCGGAAUUAUUGGGCGUAAAGAGCUCGUAGGCGGCUGGUCGCGUCUGUCGUGAAAUCCUCUGGCUUAACUGGGGGCUUGCGGUGGGUACGGGCCGGCUUGAGUGCGGUAGGGGAGACUGGAACUCCUGGUGUAGCGGUGGAAUGCGCAGAUAUCAGGAAGAACACCGGUGGCGAAGGCGGGUCUCUGGGCCGUUACUGACGCUGAGGAGCGAAAGCGUGGGGAGCGAACAGGAUUAGAUACCCCUGUAGUC